AUACGGAGGGGGCUAGCGUUGUUCGGAAUUACUGGGCGUAAAGCGCGCGUAGGCGGAUUGAUCAGUCAGGGGUGAAAUCCCGAGGCUUAACCUCGGAACUGCCUUUGAUACUGUCAAUCUUGAGUUCGAGAGAGGUGAGUGGAAUUCCUAGUGUAGAGGUGAAAUUCGUAGAUAUUAGGAAGAACACCAGUGGCGAAGGCGGCUCACUGGCUCGAUACUGACGCUGAGGCGUGAAAGCGUGGGGAGCAAACAGGAUUAGAAACCCUAGUAGUCC
Molecule: ribosomal RNA, 274 nt
Filed under: uncultured bacterium
Lineage: Bacteria
Description: partial 16S ribosomal RNA
Rfam family: Bacterial small subunit ribosomal RNA
Source: RNAcentral